RNAcentral lists this non-coding RNA (204 nucleotides) under Phycisphaerae bacterium. Lineage: Bacteria; Pseudomonadati; Planctomycetota; Phycisphaerae. The record is from RNAcentral.
AAAUUUAUCAUGGAUGGUAAAGUGUUUUGAGAUAAAAUACUUACAGGGAACGCGGUGAAAAUCCGCGACGGUCGCGCCGCUGUGAUCGUCCGACCCGGCAUCAGCCGGGAACCCUGACAGCUUUAUACCACUGUUCAAGUCGAAUGGGAAGGUGUUGUCAGGCAGGAUGAGAGUCAGAAUACCUGUUACGAUGAAUUUAGUAAA